UGGAGUGAAAGGCGACGGCUCAACCGUCGACGCGCUUCGGAAACUGGGGGACUUGAGGGCAGGAGAGGCGAGCGGAAUUCCCGGUGUAGCGGUGAAAUGCGUAGAGAUCGGGAAGAACACCAGUGGCGAAGGCGGCUCGCUGGACUGGCCCUGACGCUGACGCGCGAAAGCGUGGGGAGCGAACGGGAUUAGAUACCCCGGUAGUCCACGCCGUAAACGAUGGGCACUAGGUGUGGGAGGUAUCGACCCCUCCCGUGCCGGAGUUAACACACUAAGUGCCCCGCCUGGGGAGUACGGCCGCAAGGUUGAAACUCAAAGGAAUUGACGGGGGCCCGCACAAGCAGUGGAGCAUGUGGUUUAAUUCGACGCAACGCGAAGAACCUUACCCGGGCUUGACAUCCCCGGAACACCCGAGAGAUCGGGUGGCUCUACGGAGCCGGGAGACAGGUGCUGCAUGGUUGUCGUCAGCUCGUGUCGUGAGAUGUUGGGUUAAGUCCCGCAACGAGCGCAACCCUUGUCCCGUGUUACCAGCGUAAAGGCGGGGACUCACGGGAGACUGCCGGUGACAAACCGGAGGAAGGUGGGGAUGACGUCAAAUCACCAUGGCCCUUAUGUCCGGGGCUACACACGUGCUACAAUGGCCGGCACAGCGGGAUGCGAAGGGGCGACCCGGAGCGAAUCCCUGAAAGCCGGUCCCAGUUCGGAUCGCAGGCUGAAACCCGC
This 723-nucleotide ribosomal RNA is filed under the name uncultured Bacillota bacterium. RNAcentral describes it as "bacterial SSU rRNA". It matches the Rfam family "Bacterial small subunit ribosomal RNA", at positions 590 to 1315 of the family's 1533-position model. The record is from RNAcentral. Lineage: Bacteria; Bacillati; Bacillota.